AGUGGGGAAUAUUGGACAAUGGGCGCAAGCCUGAUCCAGCCAUGCCGCGUGAGUGAUGAAGGCCUUAGGGUUGUAAAGCUCUUUUACCAGGGAAGAUAAUGACGGUACCUGGAGAAUAAGCCCCGGCUAACUUCGUGCCAGCAGCCGCGGUAAUACGAAGGGGGCUAGCGUUGCUCGGAAUCACUGGGCGUAAAGCGCACGUAGGUGGGUCAUUUAGUCAGGGGUGAAAUCCUGGAGCUCAACUCCAGAACUGCCUUUGAUACUGAUGAUCUUCGAGUCCGGGAGAGGUGGGUGGAACUGCGAGUGUAGAGGUGAAAUUCGUAGAUAUUCGCAAGAACACCAGUGGCGAAGGCGGCUCACUGGCCCGGUACUGACACUGAGGUGCGAAAGCGUGGGGAGCAAA
Molecule: ribosomal RNA, 403 nt
Filed under: uncultured Methylobacteriaceae bacterium
Lineage: Bacteria; Pseudomonadati; Pseudomonadota; Alphaproteobacteria; Hyphomicrobiales; Methylobacteriaceae
Description: bacterial SSU rRNA
Rfam family: Bacterial small subunit ribosomal RNA
Source: RNAcentral